AGCAGCCGCGGUAAUUCCAGCUCCAAUAGCGUAUAUUAAAGUUGUUGCAGUUAAAAAGCUCGUAGUUGAAUUUCGGGAUUAGCAGGUCGGUCGUGCCACUGGUACGUACUGGUCUUGCUGAUUCCUCCCUCUUGACGAGCCGUAAUGCCAUUAAUUUGGUGUUGCGGGGAAUCAGGACUGUUACUUUGAAAAAAUUAGAGUGUUUAAAGCAGGCAUGCGCUUGAAUACAUUAGCAUGGAAUAAUGAAAUAGGACGUUCGAUCUUAUUUUGUUGGUUUCUAAGAUUGACGUAAUGAUUAAUAGGGAUAGUUGGGGGCAUUAGUAUUCAAUUGUCAGAGGUGAAAUUCUUGGAUUUAUUGAAGACUAACUACUGCGAAAGCAUUUGCCAAGGAUGUUUUCAUUAAUCAAGAACGAAAGUUAGGGGAUCGAAGACGAUCAGAUACCGUCGUAGUCUUAACCAUAAACUAUGCCGACUAGGGAUCGGAUGAUGUUAAUUUUUUAAUGACUCAUUCGGCGCCUUACG
This 522-nucleotide ribosomal RNA is filed under the name uncultured Glomeraceae. RNAcentral's name for it is "SSU rRNA". It matches the Rfam family "Eukaryotic small subunit ribosomal RNA", at positions 569 to 1092 of the family's 1831-position model. The record is from RNAcentral. Lineage: Eukaryota; Fungi; Glomeromycota; Glomeromycetes; Glomerales; Glomeraceae.